AAAGUCGGACUAAUACCGCAUGAAGCAGGGGCCCCGCAUGGGGAUAUUUGCUAAAGAUUCAUCGCUGAUAGAUAGGCAUGCGUUCCAUUAGGCAGUUGGCGGGGUAACGGCCCACCAAACCGACGAUGGAUAGGGGUUCUGAGAGGAAGGUCCCCCACAUUGGUACUGAGACACGGACCAAACUCCUACGGGAGGCAGCAGUGAGGAAUAUUGGUCAAUGGGCGUAAGCCUGAACCAGCCAAGUCGCGUGAGGGAUGAAGGUUCUAUGGAUCGUAAACCUCUUUUAUAAGGGAAUAAAGUGCGGGACGUGUCCCGUUUUGUAUGUACCUUAUGAAUAAGGAUCGGCUAACUCCGUGCCAGCAGCCGCGGUAAUACGGAGGAUCCGAGCGUUAUCCGGAUUUAUUGGGUUUAAAGGGUGCGUAGGCGGCCUUUUAAGUCAGCGGUGAAAGUCUGUGGCUCAACCAUAGAAUUGCCGUUGAAACUGGGGGGCUUGAGUAUGUUUGAGGCAGGCGGAAUGCGUGGUGUAGCGGUGAAAUGCAUAGAUAUCACGCAGAACCCCGAUUGCGAAGGCAGCCUGCCAAGCCAUUACUGACGCUGAUGCACGAAAGCGUGGGGAUCAAACAGGAUUAGAUACCCUGGUAGUCCACGCAGUAAACGAUGAUCACUAGCUGUUUGCGAUACACUGUAAGCGGCACAGCGAAAGCGUUAAGUGAUCCACCUGGGGAGUACGCCGGCAACGGUGAAACUCAAAGGAAUUGACGGGGGCCC
This 768-nucleotide ribosomal RNA is filed under the name uncultured bacterium. RNAcentral's name for it is "bacterial SSU rRNA". It matches the Rfam family "Bacterial small subunit ribosomal RNA", at positions 154 to 922 of the family's 1533-position model. The record is from RNAcentral.